RNAcentral lists this ribosomal RNA (1300 nucleotides) under metagenome. RNAcentral's name for it is "bacterial LSU rRNA". It matches the Rfam family "Bacterial large subunit ribosomal RNA", at positions 1635 to 2925 of the family's 2925-position model. The record is from RNAcentral.
UACACGACCGUACCGCAAACCGACACUGGUGCGCGAGAUGAGUAUUCUAAGGCGCUUGAGAGAACUCAGGAGAAGGAACUCGGCAAAUUGACACCGUAACUUCGGAAGAAGGUGUGCCUUUAGUAGGUGAAGUCCCUCGCGGAUGGAGCCCAAUGAGGUUGCAAAAAAUCGGUGGCUGCGACUGUUUAUUAAAAACACAGCACUCUGCAAACACGAAAGUGGACGUAUAGGGUGUGACGCCUGCCCGGUGCUGGAAGAUUAAAUGAUGGGGUGCAAGCUCUUGAUUGAAGUCCCAGUAAACGGCGGCCGUAACAAUAACGGUCCUAAGGUAGCGAAAUUCCUUGUCGGGUAAGUUCCGACCUGCACGAAUGGCGUAACGAUGGCCACACUGUCUCCUCCUGAGACUCAGCGAAGUUGAAAUGUUUGUGAUGAUGCAAUCUCCCCGCGGAAAGACGGAAAGACCCCAUGAACCUUUACUGUAGCUUUGUAUUGGACUUUGAACAGAUCUGUGUAGGAUAGGUGGGAGCUUUGAAGCAGGGUCGCUAGAUCUUGUGGAGCCAACGUUGAAAUACCACCCUGGUGUGUUUGAGGUUCUAACCUAGGCCCGUAAUCCGGGUUGGGGACAGUGCAUGGUAGGCAGUUUGACUGGGGCGGUCUCCUCCCAAAGUGUAACGGAGGAGUUCGAAGGUACGCUAGUUACGGUCGGACAUCGUGACGAUAGUGCAAUGGCAUAAGCGUGCUUAACUGCGAGACUGACAAGUCGAGCAGAUGCGAAAGCAGGACAUAGUGAUCCGGUGGUUCUGUAUGGAAGGGCCAUCGCUCAACGGAUAAAAGGUACUCUGGGGAUAACAGGCUGAUACCGCCCAAGAGUUCAUAUCGACGGCGGUGUUUGGCACCUCGAUGUCGGCUCAUCUCAUCCUGGGGCUGUAGCCGGUCCCAAGGGUAUGGCUGUUCGCCAUUUAAAGAGGUACGUGAGCUGGGUUUAAAACGUCGUGAGACAGUUUGGUCCCUAUCUUCCGUGGGCGCUGCAGAUUUGAGGAAGCCUGCUCCUAGUACGAGAGGACCGGAGUGGACGCACCUCUGGUGUAUCGGUUGUCACGCCAGUGGCAUUGCCGAGUAGCUAUGUGCGGAAGAGAUAACCGCUGAAAGCAUCUAAGCGGGAAACUCGUUUCAAGAUGAGAUCUGCCGGGGCCUUGAGCCCCCUGAAGAGUCGUUCAAGACCAGGACGUUGAUAGGUCGGGUGUGGAAGCGCAGUAAUGCGUUAAGCUAACCGAUACUAAUUGCUCGUGCGGCUUGACCU